GGCAUCGAGCGCCCUGCGCUCGUCCCCCUUUCCUUCUGGGGGUGGCUGGUGCUCUCCAGAGGAGAGGCCUUGGCAGGGACUGUGCCGUGCGCUUACCCAUUUCUCAGCCCCUCAGCUGGUGCUGCGGGACCCGGCAGCGGGAUCUGUCCACCCUCCAUGGAGGACUUGCAGGGAGGGAUCCGGUCAGUCCCUCCUCGUGUGACCUCAGCGCUGAGCUUCACGGCCUGGUGACUCCCCUUCAGACCCUCCCUGCUCGUCUCCUGCCCACAUUUGAAUCCGCUCUCUGUCUCCUACUGGGUUGUAGGAGUCUCCCUCCUCGGGUAGACGGUCAGCAAGUGCUUUCUCUCCUGUGUCCUCUCCUGGCGACGGUGGCCUCUGCACGGCGUGAUGCAACCCAAACGCUUUUUUCGCUCCUUGCUGUGCUUUUGGUGUCUCACCUAAGGAGCCACCACCUGGCCCAGCCCCGAAGUCUUGCUCCUCUGCCCUUCUAAGGCCUCUGAAGCUGCAGCCCCCGCUCGGGCCUCCACUCGCGCUGGUUCACCUUCGGCGUGAGGCAGGGGCCACCUUGCUUCUUUUGCAGGUGGAGACGCAGCUGUUCCAGCACCAGUUUUUGGAAAGACUGCCCUUUCCCCUCUGGAUGGCCUGUGCCUGUGUUGAAAGUCAGCUGACCACCUGUGCAAGGGCUCAAAGCGAUGGAGAGGGACAGCUGCUGGUGUUCAAAGGCCUAGCUCACAGGAGGCACCUCCUGCACGUGGCCUGGCCCCAGGGACACACACAUGUCGGACAAUGAGGCUCAGACGGAGGACAUGGCGUCCUCUCCUGAGAGAGCUGGAGUGCCGUAGGCAGGUGGGCGCGGCUACAGCUCAGGCUGUCUUCUCCCUGCAGUGUCUCAUGGCUCUAGUGGUCA
Molecule: long non-coding RNA, 907 nt
Filed under: Marmota monax (woodchuck)
Lineage: Eukaryota; Metazoa; Chordata; Mammalia; Rodentia; Sciuridae
Source: RNAcentral